CGCCGGGGGCCCUCUGGGUCCUCGGGUCCGCGCCCGCCGAAGCGCCUCAUGAACCCUGAUGAAGAUGGGCUGUCUGAGUUUAAUAUGAAAAUUGUCAAAACUUUCAACAAUGGAUCUCUUGGUUCCGGCAUCGAUGAAGAACGCAGCGAAAUGCGAUAAGUAAUGUGAAUUGCAGAAUUCCGUGAAUCAUCGAAUCUUUGAACGCACAUUGCGCCCCCUGGCAUUCCGGGGGGCAUGCCUGUCCGAGCGUCAUUUCUGCCCUCAAGCACGGCUUGUGUGUUGGGUGUGGUCCCUCCUGGCGGGGGGACCUGCCCGAAAGGCAGCGGCGACGUCGCGUCCGGUCCUCGAGCGUAUGGGGCUUUGUCACUCGCUCGGGAAGGACCUGCGCGCGUCUGUCACAACUGUAUUUUUU
RNAcentral lists this unclassified non-coding RNA (412 nucleotides) under Talaromyces dendriticus. Its description in RNAcentral is "sequence contains ITS1 and 5.8S rRNA gene". The stretch from base 99 to 252 matches the Rfam family "5.8S ribosomal RNA". Lineage: Eukaryota; Fungi; Ascomycota; Eurotiomycetes; Eurotiales; Trichocomaceae. The record is from RNAcentral.